AUAAAAGGACGCCACACACAAAAAAAAGUCAACAACAUCAUAUCAAAUUUCCACUAAAACAAUUACAAAAAAGCAAGACGGAUGUUUGUCGAAAUGACCAUAAGGUGGUGGUGGACGUCCUGAGAUAAAAGGGCCUCACUCAGCACAAGUCGCGGCGUGAACCACGACGCUGGUAUUAUGUGGACCCUGUUAGGUGACGCACGAACAUCGUAUUCCAUAAACAUGUGUUAAUGGUGUGUAUAUUCAAAUUCAAUUCAAAAAUAUACAUUAUAAUAUAUACCAAAUUAUUUUAAUAGAAUUAGAGUGUACAUAGACAAAUAUUAUCGCAAAGAUGUAUACGUAAAUACUUAAGGUUAGAAUAAAAAAGAAAGUUAUUAAUAUAGGUAAAACUAGUAAACAAAUGUAAUAAUAUAAACAAAUACGAAUUCCAUGAAUGUGUAUUGUGUAGUCUGUCUUAGUACCUAUCUAUCGCGCGCGCCGCACCCCGAUUCUAGCUCGGUCGGUAAAGUAGUUUGGUUACUACUAGUACUUACUUAUAAACAAAAUAUUUUUUUCCAUUCGACCGCCGCGCUGCCGAACGGGCACGACGUGUUCCCAAAGUAAAGCGAAAUUAUAAAUUUGUAAUAGAAUUGCGUAUAUUAAUUAAAAAGAAAAAAUAAAGUGAAUCAAAUAAAGCAAAUAUACAUUAACCAAAUAAGAAACAAUAAAUUAAGUACGUCCAGUACACUCAACAACAUCCAAAGUAAAUAAUGGAAACGUGCAGUCGUUUGAAAACCCCAAUAAACAAAUCCAUGAGACCAUGCAAACAUUACCCGACGGAAAAUAAUAAUAAUCAUGACAAAGGUUGUGUCGCCGCAUCCAGCCCGCUAGGAGGACUGCGCCACGUUGACGUGUCGAAACCAAUUAGUGAAGCAGCG
Pectinophora gossypiella (pink bollworm) is the source of this 917-nucleotide long non-coding RNA. RefSeq lists it as uncharacterized. NCBI's taxonomy places the organism in Eukaryota, Metazoa, Arthropoda, Insecta, Lepidoptera, Gelechiidae. The transcript is spliced from 3 exons. The record is from RefSeq and is a predicted model, not a curated record.